GUGUGUGUCCGUGUGUGCGUGUGUGCGCGUGUGCGUGUGCGUGUCUGUGCGCUCCCGCCGCCGUCGCCGAGCGCCCCCCUCUCCGCCCUCGCGCUCGCGCUCCCUCGCGCCGGCGCCGGCUCCCCAGCCCAAGCCGGGCAGGGCCGGGCUUUAUUAAUAUGCUAAUUGUCCUGCUAGUGGGAGGGGAGAGCCGUGUCAAAGUGACCCGGGAGAGCGCGCAGCAAGCGACGACGUGCGUGCGCCGCGCGGCGGGCGGGCGGCGAGGGGCUGGGAGCGCUCGGGGAACGGCAUGCAUGUGACGCAGCUUUUAAAAAAGGAGACGGAGGCAGAGACCCCAGAGAGGGAGGGCGAAGGGGAGGGCUUGGAGGCGCAGCCGCGCGCUCGGUGUCCGUCCUCCGGGUGCCGCCGGAUGGGGAGUCUGGCUGAGCCGGAGCGGGAGCCGCGGCUGGGGGAGGCGGAGCCGGGGUGGGCAGUGUGGUGUAUCUCUCUCCACCCCGGGCCGCGCUCCGGGAGGGAAAAGGGACUGCAGACCCCCUGUCCGUGCUCCCUGCUGAGACGCCAGCCUUCUUCUGGAGGCCCCUUGUUUCGCGUCCCUACCCUAGGCUGGAUGGCUGCUGUCCUUUGAGGGCUUCGGAGAUGAGAACAGGAAACAGGCCCCUCCAGUGCCCCCUAACCCAGAGAGGCAGAGGCUGUGGGCCGUGGGGGGUUGGAUGGGAGAUGAUGUGGAUGGUCAAUGUAAGGAACACUCCUUCCCCUGGGAGGAGCCUCCCAACCUUCAGUCACACUUCAAGGACUCCCCAACCCAGCCCUAGGAGGGGAGGGGCUCCAUCUCCAUCCCUUCCCAAAAGCUCAGCUUUAGCUGCCUCAUAAACAGGAAAUACCUAUUAGCCAGGAGGAGGGAAGGGAGGGGAGCCGCCUGGAGUAGAGAGUUGACCCCCUCCCUCCUGGGGUCCCCAGCUGCUAGCUUUUCUUUCUUAAGUUUCAGUAUGGGCUCCAGGGAUAGACGAUGGAGACUUGGACUAGUGUCUCCUCCCUAGGGCGUCUGGCCCUGACUGGGUUUUUGCUGAGGGAGCAUGAAAUGAUGGAACGGUGCAGAGUCCAGGGAUUGAAAAGAAGGCCUGCCUAGGAAUGGAGACCCUCCCCACCAUGUGCUUAGGAUGGGGGAUAGGGGAGCUUGUACACUGUGGAGUCUCCCACCCCCAGGUUUCCCCAUCUCCACCCCCACCAGGAGCAGAGAGGACCUGACUGAAGCCAUCCACACUCACACAAGUAUUUCCUUGGCAGCAUCCCCUGCCUGAGUGCACCCCCUCCCUGCAUUCUCCCAGACAAAGGUCAGCACUAGAGGGAGUAGAGAGAACAUAAGGCAACAGAACACUGGCCCGAAAUUGUGGAUACCUAGGUUUGAACGCAAGAUUCGCUCCUCAAUACCUGAGUGAUUUGAGACAACUGACCACCCCACCUGGGACACUAGCUUUAUCCUCUGUAACCUAUGGCUUGGUGAGUAUCAAACUAGACAAUGUACACCCAGUCACGUAGCCCAGUGUCAGCCAGGCAGUCCUGUAAAUACGUGUUCUUUCUGCCCUUUUUUUUUUUUUUUUUUUAAGAUUAUCCAAUUCCAAGAGAGGAGGGGGCUGGAUUGGCAGGACAAUUUGAGAUGGUUUGGAGGAGGGGGAAUACCUACCUUGACCUCCUUCUCUCUUUUCUGUCCAUGAAUUUGCCUUCCUCCAAUCCUGUGACCACUUACGCCUAAGGCCACUCAUUCCAAACAACUAGCUUGGUCAGAUUCCAUGCUGACCAACACAAUGGUGAUCAUCUGGGUGGACAGGGGGACUACAACCCACCCUAUAAAGGUCUUUGCCUCCUGUGAAUCUGAGAUUUCCCUCUCCUAGAUUACACAUGUGGAAGGUAGAAGCUUAGGAAGGAAGAAAAAACUGCCUUACUUGAGCAUGCACUAAUGCCAGGCACUGCCCUAGGCCUUUUACACUUGCCGACUCAUUUACCUUUCAUGAGGACCUUUGGAAGAAGGUGCUAUUACCUCCAUUGAACAAGUAGGAAAACUGAAGUUCAGAGAUGAUAAUAAAUUUGAACUUGCCUGUAAAACACUGUUCUCCCUCUUCUUCACCUACUAGUUAAUGCUUCCUUAACACCUUAGUUCUAGCUUCACCUUCUCUGGGAAGAUUACCCUUCCCACUCCCACUGACACUAUAGCCCAGUUACCGGUAAGGAAAUACCAUCUCAGUACUGUUGAAUGGGUGGUUAAAAUAAGUGAUUGGGGCUCCUACAGGAACUCCAUUUAGGCAAGUUAGUUAACUUUGCCAAGGUAACAGAGCUAACAAGCACUUGACCCAUUGCUCCACUCCUUGCCUUACUUCUAGUGUGGAUCA
This 2384-nucleotide long non-coding RNA is filed under the name Homo sapiens (human). Its description in RNAcentral is "HSALNT0167374". Lineage: Eukaryota; Metazoa; Chordata; Mammalia; Primates; Hominidae. The record is from RNAcentral.